CCCGCACAGGCAGCGGAGCGUGUGGUUUAAUUCGAUGUUACACGAAGAACCUUACCAGGGUUUGACAUGCAAGUGGUAGGAAGCCGAAAGGUGACCGACCCUUCGGGGAGCUUGCACAGGUGCUGCAUGGCUGUCGUCAGCUCGUGUCGUGAGAUGUUCGGUUAAGUCCGCUAACGAGCGCAACCCUCGCUGUGUGUUAUAUGUGUCACACGGGACUGCCGGUCUUAAGCCGGAGGAAGGUGGGGAUGAUGUCAAGUCAGCAUGGCCUUUAUAUCCUGGGCUACACACACGCUACAAUGGCCAACACAAUAGGUUGCUAAGCCGCGAGGUGGCGCCAAUCCAUAAAGUUGGUCUCAGUUCAGAUUGUAGGCUGCAACCCGCCUGCAUGAAGAUGGAGUUGCUAGUAACCGCAGGUCAGCUAUACUGCGGUGAAUACGUUCCCGGGGCUU
This 449-nucleotide ribosomal RNA is filed under the name uncultured Leptolinea sp. RNAcentral's name for it is "bacterial SSU rRNA". It matches the Rfam family "Bacterial small subunit ribosomal RNA", at positions 920 to 1382 of the family's 1533-position model. Lineage: Bacteria; Bacillati; Chloroflexota; Anaerolineae; Anaerolineales; Anaerolineaceae. The record is from RNAcentral.